CACCAACCCAUCUGACCUCCCAGCCUGAGACGGGGGCGGGGGGGGUCACUGUGAAGUCAUCUCAGGAUGAGGUCCCACUGCCUCCCCAGGCCACACUGCCAGCGCGGCCAGGUCCCCAAGCCUGGGCCUUGCCUAUGAGGAAGGCGCCCUCUGGGUCCUCCCUGGGAGGCAGCAUGGCACACGGCCCAAGGCUGUGGAGGCCAUCACCACCCCUCUGCACCCGAGGCCUCCAGGUCCCAGGGGAAGCCACGGCCACAGGCUGCCCUGGCCAAUGUCACAACAGCUCCUGCCGGCACAGAAGAGGACAUCCACGGCCUGGCCAGACCUUCCGACUCCCACUGCUGCAUGCGAGGGCUGACCCCGAGAAGUGGACACCCACAGUCCCCCUGUCCUGGCCUCCUUGCCGGCAGGGCAGCCAGAGCACCUGGAGUGCAGGAGGGCCGCCGCCCUGCUCGUAGACGGCAUGCCAUCACAGCGCUGUCCUCAGCACCUGGACACCAAGCCCUGCCAGCUCUCCAAACCCCAGCAGUGACAUUUCAGUCAACCUUCAGGCACCUUCUGAAACACCAGGAAAACAAGGGAACGUGAACUUGCAGCCCAUGCCUACAGACGCAGGCCCUUCCAGGGCAAGAGCUCUCCCUCUGAGGCUGGCCGAAAGGAAGGCAGCCGGUGUCAGCAGCGGAGCACUUUGGGGUCUCAGCAGUGAGCAGAUGCCCAGCCUAAGGAAGGAGCGGAAGAUGUGAGCACGAUCAAAGACAGAUGGACAGCCACCAGCCACGUGACAGUGUCCACGUGUCCUCACAGCCAUGCAGGGUAAGCAAGGAGACGUGGUCCACGGGAGGCACACGGGUGUCCAUGGGGGGUUCACGGGGUGUCCAAAGAGGGUGCAUAGUGAGUGCACAGGGGGUGCAUGAAUGUCCACGGGUGGUGCACAGGUGUGCACAGGGGGUGUGCAUAGGGAGUGCACAGGGGGUGCAUGGGUGUGCAUGGGUGUCCACGGGGGGUGCACAAGAGGUACGUCGGGAGUGCAUGGGUGUCCACGGGGGUGCAUGGGGUGUGCACAGGGCAUGCAUGGAUGUGCACAGGGGGUAAACGGGGCACACAGGGAGUGCACGGGGUGUCCACGGGGGAUGCACGGGGUGUGCACAGGGAGUGCGGGGGGGGGUGCAUGGGGCGUGCAUGGGUGUCCACGGGUGAUGCACGGGGUGAGCACAGGGCAUACAUGGAGUGCAUUGAGUGUCCACAAGGGGUAAACAGGGGGCACAUAGGGAGUGCACGGGGGGAUACACGGGGUGUCCAUGGGGGAUGCACGGGGUGUGCACAGAGGGUGCAUAGGGGGUGCAUGGCUGUCCAUGGGGGGUGCACAGGUGUCCCCGAGGACAGAGAGGGACCACUAGCAGGUGACACGCGCACAGAAAGCACACUUGGGAAUGUGUCCUCACCCUGCCCACGGUGGCUGAGUGUCUAUGGGCCUAACAGCCACCUCUAUCCUCUUUCCCGGGAACACGAGUUCCGUUGGAGCAGCACUGGCCCAGGUGAAGACGCCUUUCCUCCUGGCUCCCUUGCAGCUAGGCCUGGCUCUCUGAGCUGAUUGUAGCCCAAGAUUCCACAGAAGCCUAAGCUGGGCUUCCCGGAUAAAGAGGGUACACGCCCUUUGUCCCAGUGCCAGAGCAGCAGCCUCCGGCAUCCACAGGGAACAGCAGUCACAGCUGCAUGUCUGCCCUGGCUGGGAGAAGAGGGACACCAGAGCGUGCCUGGUGGUCUUGGGCUGGGCACUAGCACGGACCUGCCAUCAGGGACAGAGGCCCUGCGGACAGCCUCGAGUCUACACUCCGGCUUCGGCUGCUUCCGGAACACGGCGGGGGACGUUCUGGUGAACCCGAGCAGCACUGUUGGCUGCCUGGGCUAGGUGACAGGGCCCCGGGGGAGUCACAAAUCCAGGAGAAGCCUCUGUGCCCACCCUGCCCUCCACCCCUCCAGUGAUCCCAGGACCCAACCUAAACAGGACCCUGGGUAAGGUCAGCAGACAGCGCCAUCUUCCUGGCCCUACCCCACCAGGACCCUAACAGCACACCGGAGCGGGGACGACAACCACACGGUGGGUGGUGACAGGGGCCGUACCUCCCUGAGCAUGUGAGGCGUGUGUCCUGUGGGUGGGCCAGUGAGGUGCUCCCCCCACACACAGAACAAAGAAAUAACCCUAAGAUGCUCCGGAAACCAAGCAGUGUACCUACUGGACACAGCAGUACUACGACCCGGCAGCUGGCGGUGAGGGGCGGGCAGAGUGAGCCCGAGCACUGCCGUGCCUACACACCAUGUCCCCAGCAGCUCAGGGGCCUGGUGGGGCGGGCGUGGGGGGAGGGGACCCCCAAGCCUUGGUUAAGCCAGCAGCGUGGGUCUCCUCAUAGAACGUAUGGCCCAGCCCUUCCUGCAUGGGCCAACUCCCCGGUCACCUGGGCAGGCAUGGGGACAUCGCUCACUGGGGCCCAGCCACCCCUCUCCUGCCAGCUCAGGGGGUGAAGUGGACCCCAAGGCAGGGCAGAGACCCCUCUCUGGGCGAUGCCUUCAUAGGAGCCGGUCACAGAGCCUGGGCAUGGGGACCCUCUGGGUGGUGCAGACGCUGGGGCCAGCGAGGACUCAGGUGAGGCAGAGGCCCAGCUGAUGAGCCUGGGGGCAGCUCGUAGAGAGCAGAGCCAACGGCUCCAAGCUCCUGCCAACCCUCCUGGAUAAGGAAGGGCUGCAAGAACAGGAUGCCCCAAGACAAGGAGGCCCACGACCCGGGUCCACCCACUGGCAAGUCCGGACGGGGCAGUGAGCAGGGAUCAGAGGCGAGAGGUGGGCUGAGGCAGGAUGAGCCCGAGAGAGCCCAGAGUGGAAGAGUCUGGCUCCCAAGGCCUCCCUGCACCCCACCAAGGUGCUGGGGGCUCCAGAAUGCACAAGGCUGACAGCUGUGGGAAGGGCCCCAGGACGACAGGCGCCCAACCCCUGGGCCGAGGCUGUACAAGCCGUGCCCACAGGCCCACGUGCAGGGUGUGGCAGGCAGGGCACCCAGGGACGGCACCGCCCAGGAAGCCCAGCGGAUGACAACGAACCUCAGGGAGGAGGACGUGCCUAGGGGGGCGGGAGUCCUGCCUGACUGCGGGACCAGGGCAACACCAAGGUGUCUCUGGAGAACACUGACUUCACAGACGUCCCUGUCCAGGGCUGCGGUCCCCGCGCCCCCCGCCGUGACUCGCUGUGCCUAGAAGACAGAGCGCAUCUCAGGGUCCCACCCCGAGGAGGGCAUGUUGGGGGCUCCCACCAGAGGAGGCCGUGUGCUGGCUCCCACCCCGGGGAGGCCGUGUGCUGGCUCCCACCGGAGGAGGGUCUAAGGAAUCACUGGUGGCCGAUGCGCCAUCACACCCUGUCUUCCAACACAACCCUGGCCCACUGGGCUCUGGGCCUACAGGACAGCAAGCAGCACGGAGCAUCCAGGGUGGAGUCCUGCACGCUGUCCGGAAUGGCCUGUGAGAUGCUGGGGGAGCCCUGAGGCCGACUGUGGACAGGGUUGGCGCUGGCCUCUGCUGUGCUCCCCUGCCCUGGCCAGCCGGGAUCCCUUCAGGGCCCACGUGGGGCCUUGGGAACUAUAAGCAGGCACCAGAGGCCCUGUGCCUGCUCUGUCACCUCCUGUGUGUCCCGCGUUCCAUGGGGCCCAGGACCGUCAGCCAUGCUAGGGCACGCAGGCCCUGGUCACUGGCACAGCCUUGAGGGCAGAGCUGAGCUGGGCUCCAGGGCCAUGCCGGGCAGGGACAGGCCCAGCCUGGUGCUGUCUCCCUGUCCCAGCCACAACCCAACGCGGCAUCGAAGCCUGAGUCCUGGGACCUGGAAGGCCUGGGGAUAACCGGGCAUUUCUGCUUUAAACGAUGAGCAGCCACAGAGAGGAGACCCCCCAGGUGCCACGGUAUCCCUUGGGGGUAGGGUCCUAGUGAGAGAGGGGACCAGCUUGGAGUCCCAUCUGCCAAGAGUCCUCCCCUCCCCUGCAUGACCACGGGCUGCCCAUGUCUGGCAGGCCCCUAUGGGAGCCCAGGCCACCACGGCCCUCCCAGUAGCUAUUCCAGGCCUGAGUCCCCUCCGGGAGGACGACGGGGUGAUUGGAGGCUAAACUUAGCCACGGGCAGACAAUGGUGGUCAGAAUCACAGGUCGGCUGAGGACAAGCGGCAGUGAGCUCUCUGCGGUGGGGAGGUGGUGUGAGCAAUAAAGGGAAUCGAAAAUGAAAACCCAUCUGCAAGAGGCCGGCCCUGCUGGGACUGGCUGUGCAGCAGCUGAGGUGGGCCUGCCAGAAGGCGCCCUCUGUGAGUAGGGACCGUCCGUAGCCAGCACUCAGGAGCACAGCUCGGCUCAGACAGCCCUGAGGUCAGUGGCUGGGAAAACCCAGCAAGACCCUGCACCCCGGGUACAAGCCAGUGACAGGUCACAGGGCCAGCCUGACCCAGCCCAUCCCGGCACCCCUUCCCUGCAGGCCGCAACUGUGGGAGGCAGGCACGCCCCAUCCAGGCCCUGUGCGUGCUUGUGAACCGUCCUCUGCUGGCCCAGGGAGCCCCACAGCCCCAGGCUUGUCUAUGCUCACCCCGGUGAUGCCCACAGCUUUGCUUAGGAGCCAGCUCAGUCUGCACGACCCUCUGGGUACCCUGGUGGCUGAUCUGGCCCACUUGCCAAGGCCAAAGGAGAGAAGCCAGCCCCCCCGAUUCAGACGAGGUCCCCACAGAGCCGGGACGGAUCACCUGGGGCCCUUGUGUGGCGCUGGGUUCAGCUGCUGUGAUGUGCAGGCGAGGAGGUGUGACGGGGACCCGGUCGCCGCUGGACCAGGCCAGAGUAUGGGGUGGUCGCAGGCAGGUGGAUGGACCUGCAGAGCCCAGGACCUCCAGACUGAGGGCCCCAGCGCUGUCCACCGGCAUCGGCAGAGGCCGCUGCCAGAAACCCCGCUCCAGCACAGCUGCUGUCCCGUGGCCCUCCUGACCCCGACAGCACCGGCCGCUGCCUGGACGCCGACGCAGGAGCUUGCUCUGCAGAGAGGGCGAUUCACCCUGCAGUGCGAGCGCCUUUGUGGGCUUCUAGGUGAGGCACCCUGGGCUCAGACCCCAUCAGAAUGUGAAACGGAAGGCGGCCCAGAGGAAGCCACCUGCAGGCCCCAGCUUUUAUGUUAAAAUACAUCAGGGGACUUCAAAAAGCUUGUAGGUAAACGGCGGUAAAGCAUACACUUACUUUGCUGCAAAAAAUCCUUGAAAUCCAUGCAUGGUUUUUAUGGAAUGUGCACUUCCCAUAAGCUUGCUGAAGCUCCCUUGUAUGUGUGCAAAAACAUUGCAUGCGGCACUAGCAGGUGGUGGGACUGAAGUUACCGAAUUUCCUGUCACUGGCUCUCCUCUUGACCCUGGCCUGCCUCCCACAUCACCUCUAAUUAACACACUCCAGCUCAAACCAGAGAUGACUCACACAGGGUACCGCACACGCUCCGCAGCUGGGCCGGCACUGCCUCGGGACUCGGCCUGCUGGAUGGGCUGAGCACCGCCCAUGCCACGCUGUUCCCACCACUGAGCGGCCGGCCAUGCGUAGAGGACCGUGUGCCUGGCUUUCUCAGGCCCUGACCCGACGGGAUCUGCCCCCAGGUUCGGGGCUGGUGGGUUUGGACCAUUUAAAUAGCGAGUCAUUCCUGGAGACGCGUGACACGACGGCCCUGCAGCCCUCCUCCCCGUGCUGGUGCCCCUCAUAGGCACAGUGCGAGCAGCCAGGCUGCCGGGCCAGUGAGGCAGUGUGGCCCAACACCCCGGGACGCUAGCCCACACAGGAAUGUCGCAGUGUCACGUCCUAAGGUUUUUCUGUACACACUGAGCACGUGUGCACCCGUGACCUGGGGAGGCAAAGACCCAGUUGGGGUCCUCCCUUUCUGUCUCAUUCUCUCAGGGAAGAGAUAAAUAAACCCAAGUAAAUAAAUAAAAGCAGAAAGAAACAUGGGGCUCUUUCCCAUCCAGAGCAGUCGUGACCCUGGGGCCCUGGGCAGUGACCAUCAGGUCUACACCCCAGCCUGCUGUGGGGGCAUCUCAGAGCACGCCAGGCCUCAGUCCCCAUCAGCUGGGACCACCUCUGUGGCCCUCUCCAGGGCUGUACCUAGACUCCAGCUGUUCCUCGGCCUCCAGGUCCCAGACUCUGAAAACAGAAGUGGCUCUCUGAAAGACACGUACGCACACCCCGCUCCAAACACACCAACGUCUGUGCUCCAUGGUGGACACUGCAUGGUCCGAGGCCCGGACAGCACAGGGACCAGUGCAGACACCGGAGCUUGCAGGGUAGGCGCUGGGCGGGCUCGGGGAGGCCCUGGAAGAGACCGAGUGUCGAAGUUCUCUACGAAGAUGCCGUACACGGGGUACCCAGAAAAGCAGUCAGCGUGUAAGUAAAACGGAAGGAGACCAAGGUGGAGGCGCCGUGGGGACACGGUACACAUCAAGCUACCCCACUGAGUGGGCCGGCCUGGGACCGCUGCCUUCACCCCAGGCCCAGGGAACCUAAGUCCCCACGCCCCAAAUACGUCUGUCUGGCUGCGGACAGGACUUUAGUGCAGUGUCCUCGCCCAAAACGUGUCCACCCUCCUCUGUGGCCGUACUGAGACCACACUCAGACGCCCACCUGCCAGCUAAGGGGAGAACCAGGGCGGGUUCUGGAGGUGGCCCGUGUGACAACGGGGCCUGUGUCCAUCCUGCCCACCCGUGCAAAUCCAUGCUUCUGCCGAAUCCCAGGCAACUGCCGAGUCGUCCCCUGCGGGGCCUGCUGUGCACCUCACCGUGAGGGCACCGCUGCCUGAGGGCGGGAGGACCCCCAGGGAUCUGCCCCAGGGCUUCCCUCGGGGCAGACGGGUACCAUGUCUCGCAGACGUCCCAUGUCACUGCAAAGGCUGGUGCAGUGACAUGGCGGCUUCUGGGUACAGUCCAGCCAAGGACACGUGGCCGACCACACGCCAAAGCCGAACCUCGCGUGGACUCCGGGGUACUCGAGCGCACCUGCUCUGUGAACUCACACCCGGGGGCACACAGGGGCGGCGCUGGACGGGGUUGGCGCCCACGUGGGCCGCCAGGUCACCCUGCCCCACCCAGCAGUCGUUGCCCACCUUGUGACCUGCACAGGUGGGUCCCCGGAGACGCAGUGCCAGCCUCCCUUCCCUGCAGGGCGGCAGUCCAGAUGGAGCAAUGCCUGCAGCCAUGACCCUGCAAAGUCAGGGUCAGGGAGGAGGCAGCAGGUCUUCAAGGUGACCCGCCUGGUCAUGUGCACUCUGUGGCCUGGUCUGGUGCUUGAGCCACCCCAACCCCCGGUUCAUACGGUGACUCCUCCUCCUCCCAGGUGAGGGCCACGGGAGGCCAUGAGGCCACAGCGGGUCUCAGGACAGGGUCAGUGCCCUGAGAGCUCACCAGCUCUCCCACCAGGGGCGACCCAGAAUCCUGGCUCCAGCACGCAGAGAAAUGAGUCCUACAGCUUACACGCC
This is a long non-coding RNA of Tupaia belangeri chinensis (Chinese tree shrew), 7508 nucleotides long. RefSeq lists it as uncharacterized. Lineage: Eukaryota; Metazoa; Chordata; Mammalia; Scandentia; Tupaiidae. The transcript has 3 exons. The record is from RefSeq and is a predicted model, not a curated record.